GAGAGGUCGUUACCUUGUGGCUGAGGAAAGGGAACGAAUAGAACGCCACUAGAGAAGAUUACCAAACUAUGACAACUUCUGCCUCAGAGAGAAUCUACACGGUUUAAUUUACUGCACCUCCGUGAUGUCUGCUGGCAAGAUGGAUAAAAUCUUCACAUUACUUCAGAAGUUCAGACUGGAUAAAUACUACAAAAAAUUCAUUGAUCUUGGGAUUGAAGAAGAACUGGAUUUUUUUGACAGCGUCAAUGAUGUGACCUUAAAAUCCAUGGAUUUUUCACAAGCAGAGAGGAACCGGUAUGGCAAUAUGAUUGCUUAUCUGCGAAGAAUUGGCAAUGCACCAGUUCCAGAGAUGCAAGGAAUGACUGUAAUGAAGUCACUUAAUUCAUUUCAUAUAUCCUACCGAUUUCCAAAAUGUCCUGGGAUAAAAGAGAUCACAGGUAUAGAUCCCUCACAAAAUACAGUGGAGGACCUGAUGUUGCGAAUCUGCCAUGAAAACAAGGUUGACAGAAACAUGUCUGUAUGCCUUUACACUGCUGAUGGUAUGCCUUUGACUGAUGACCCCUUCUUCAACACAUGGUCUUUGAAUGACAGACAUAUUGCAAGUGGGAGUGAACUGUAUGCCAUAUUUACACCAAGGGAAAAUUUAACAGCGUUACCACUGACACAAAGACAGGCCAACAUCAGAAAUGAAGGACCAAGUGUCAUCCGCUGUCACAUAAUGUUACAGGGAGACUUUGAAAUCAAAGUCAACCUCGAAAGUGAUACACUGAGAGAUGUGACGCUGCGGCUUUCACUUGAAAGUUGUAUACCAGCACCAGUUCUUCACAUCAGAGGCGAAGAGUAUAAUCAUGUUGACAAACUUAAUGAGCUUGGAAUCACAGAGGAUUCAGUUCUACAGUUCUCUCUGUCAUCAUUUGAUAAUGAGAAACCAAAUCCAAGUCUUUUGUUCCAAAAAGAUGUCAGACCCUCAGUGAAGCAAACAGAGAAAGGCCUAAGUGUAUUUCUGUCAACGCUGUAUGCCAUUGUAUGUUUAAAAAAACAAACAAACUAUCAUUUCUAUUUUGUCAAGGUUUGA
This 1075-nucleotide long non-coding RNA is filed under the name Carassius auratus (goldfish). Its description in RNAcentral is "lncRNA (ENSCARG00000059618.1)". Lineage: Eukaryota; Metazoa; Chordata; Actinopteri; Cypriniformes; Cyprinidae. The record is from RNAcentral.